AUUAACAGGAUUAGAUACCCUGGUAGUCCACGCUGUAAACGAUGUCGAUUUGGAGGUUGUGCCCUUGAGGCGUGGCUUCCGGAGCUAACGCGUUAAAUCGACCGCCUGGGGAGUACGGCCGCAAGGUUAAAACUCAAAUGAAUUGACGGGGGCCCGCACAAGCGGUGGAGCAUGUGGUUUAAUUCGAUGCAACGCGAAGAACCUUACCUACUCUUGACAUCCAGAGAACUUUCCAGAGAUGGAUUGGUGCCUUCGGGAACUCUGAGACAGGUGCUGCAUGGCUGUCGUCAGCUCGUGUUGUGAAAUGUUGGGUUAAGUCCCGCAACGGGCGCAACCCUUAUCCUUUGUUGCCAGCGGUUCGGCCGGGAACUCAAAGGAGACUGCCAGUGAUAAACUGGAGGAAGGUGGGGAUGACGUCAAGUCAUCAUGGCCCUUACGAGUAGGGCUACACACGUGCUACAAUGGCGUAUACAAAGAGAAGCGACCUCGCGAGAGCAAGCGGACCUCAUAAAGUACGUCGUAGUCCGGAUUGGAGUCUGCAACUCGACUCCAUGAAGUCGGAAUCGCUAGUAAUCGUAGAUCAGAAUGCUACGGUGAAUACGUUCCCGGGCCUUGUACACACCGCCCGUCACACCAUGGGAGUGGGUUGCAAAAGAAGUAGGUAGCUUAACCUUCGGGAGGGCGCUUACCACUUUGUGAUUCAUGACUGGGGUGAAGUCGUAACAAGGUAGCCAAU
Molecule: ribosomal RNA, 736 nt
Filed under: uncultured bacterium
Lineage: Bacteria
Description: bacterial SSU rRNA
Rfam family: Bacterial small subunit ribosomal RNA
Source: RNAcentral